CGCUGGCGGCAUGCCUAACACAUGCAAGUCGAACGAGACCUUCGGGUCUAGUGGCGCACGGGUGCGUAACGCGUGGAACCUGCCUUUAGGUUCGGAAUAACUCAGAGAAAUUUGAGCUAAUACCGGAUAAUGUCUUCGGACCAAAGAUUUAUCGCCUCUAGAUGGGCCCGCGUUGGAUUAGCUAGUUGGUGGGGUAAAGGCCUACCAAGGCGACGAUCCAUAGCUGGUCUGAGAGGAUGAUCAGCCACACUGGAACUGAGACACGGUCCAGACUCCUACGGGAGGCAGCAGUGGGAAUUUUGGACAAUGGGGGCAACCCUGAUCCAGCAAUGCCGCGUGAGUGAAGAAGGCCUUCGGGUUGUAAAGCUCUUUUGUCAGGGAAGAAACGGUGAGAGCUAAUAUUUCUUGCUAAUGACGGUACCUGAAGAAUAAGCACCGGCUAACUACGUG
RNAcentral lists this ribosomal RNA (450 nucleotides) under uncultured bacterium. RNAcentral's name for it is "bacterial SSU rRNA". It matches the Rfam family "Bacterial small subunit ribosomal RNA", at positions 34 to 507 of the family's 1533-position model. The record is from RNAcentral.